RNAcentral lists this ribosomal RNA (301 nucleotides) under uncultured bacterium. RNAcentral describes it as "partial 16S ribosomal RNA". It matches the Rfam family "Bacterial small subunit ribosomal RNA", at positions 509 to 807 of the family's 1533-position model. The record is from RNAcentral.
CAGUAGCCGCGGGAAUACGGAGGGUGCAAGCGUUAAUCGGAAUUACUGGGCGUAAAGCGUGCGCAGGCGGUUAUAUAAGACAGAUGUGAAAUCCCCGGGCUCAACCUGGGAACUGCAUUUGUGACUGUAUAGCUAGAGUACGGCAGAGGGGGAUGGAAUUCCGCGUGUAGCAGUGAAAUGCGUAGAUAUGCGGAGGAACACCGAUGGCGAAGGCAAUCACCUGGGCCUGUACUGACGCUCAUGCACGAAAGCGUGGGGAGCAAAAAGGAUUAGAUACCCGAGUAGUCCCUGUCUCUUAUAC